Long non-coding RNA from Oreochromis aureus, 1310 nucleotides. The record is from Ensembl. NCBI's taxonomy places the organism in Eukaryota, Metazoa, Chordata, Actinopteri, Cichliformes, Cichlidae.
GUAUUAAUGCCACUUCAGUUUCUGUAUGCAAUUUAAAAUCUCAAAUUAUAGGGAUUUGACGACACUACCAUUACUACAAAGUUAUUCUGGCUAAUUAUAAUAAACUACAUACAAGAAAAAAUGGGUGGGAAAAUGUGUUUAUCUCAAAUAAAAGUGGAAACUUAACCCCCCGAAAAGAAUACAGAUAAUUGAAAUGAUUUAAUUUACUUAUAAAUCUACCUAAAUGAGAUAACAAAUGUAUAUUUGUGCUUCUGUUUAUUUAGACUGGGAUAUAGCUGACAAUAAAAAUAACUGAAAAUACUGAAAACUAACUGAAACUAAUUCCAAUUUAAAAGAAAAAAUAAAACACUAAAUUAAAACAAAAAAAAGAGGAUUAUAAAACUAUAAAUACAUCGUCUAAUAAUUUUGAGGCGAUUGAAAAGUCCUUUUGAGCUUUUAUUUUUUUACAGUUAACUGACUGACUUCCGGUUAUGGCUUUUCUAACUGAGUGCCUCUCCGCGCAGCCUGUACUCUUCAAGCCCCAUCAAACACGAGUCCGUCGGUCUGGCUGCGCAAGGCAACUGAACACUACGAGCAGCGAGUGGUUAUUCCAGCCCAAACCUCCAACUUAGCAAACAGUGUUAGCUCUAAAUAUCAUCCCUGUCCGUCGGUAAGCGCUGCACUUUGCUUUCCGCUUCCUUCUGAGGACUUCAACUCGCGCUGGUCAAAUUGUCGGCAGACCAAAUACGGAGAAAUAAAACGAAAUAACGGACACGUCUCGGCUGAAAUGCACGGCUGUUGUUACUGUCUUUUGAGGAGGAGGGUGUCCGACACAGAGCUGUAGUUUCUCUUCCAAGAAGGCGAGGAAUGCAAGCUGAGCAUCAAUGUUUCACUGGGGCAAGUGGAAGAAGAGGAUGGGAGCCAACAGUUCUUCAAAGAGACCCGUUUUCGACGAAAAGGAAGAUGGGAGCAGCAGCUGUGAUGGUGACUAAUAAAGAAUAAAGAACCUCUGAUGAAGAUUACAUUAUCUCAGGAUUCAUAAUUAAUGUCCAAAUAUGACUAUAAAACCUUCGUGCUGCAAACUAAAGUCAUAUUAGCUCUUACAGAAAGGUUUGCGUUCCUCAGCAUAUUCCUCCUCCUCUCCUGUGUUAAAUACAAACUAUGCAUUUAACUGAGCUUCAGUUUGCUUUGGAUUUCCCUUUAAUAAAACCCUAGUUAAAGAAAAUGGUUUUGAAAGUUGUCUCUUUAAUUCAUUAUUUCCUGGUGUGUUAUUAGCAAGGUUAAUGAUCUAAUUGCAUAAUGUAUUUUUCAUCAUGGUCAGGAAGGUGCCC